Molecule: non-coding RNA, 296 nt
Organism: Pocillopora verrucosa
Lineage: Eukaryota; Metazoa; Cnidaria; Anthozoa; Scleractinia; Pocilloporidae
Source: RefSeq, a predicted model, not a curated record
UGGGAAUGAUCGCUAGCUACUUUGUUGAGCACACUCUAGAACACGCUCGCAGAAAAGCUCUAAUUGCUGUGCUCUUUCAGACUUUUAAUGGUAAUAAGACUUGCUUGGAAUUUCAAAGGGUAGCAACAUUGCCCUCCAACUCUCUGAUCAGUCUGUUAUUGUGCUUGUCAAUCAAGGGUGAAGUGAUUUUCUGAUAGCAACAGCUGAAAUAGAGAGAAUUAGUCAAAGCAGAUAACUGUCAAAAAAGGCAACAGGAUCUGAGUUUCUGAAAGCAGGAAUAAUUUGUGGCAGUAUGG